Molecule: unclassified non-coding RNA, 5607 nt
Filed under: Rhipicephalus microplus (southern cattle tick)
Lineage: Eukaryota; Metazoa; Arthropoda; Arachnida; Ixodida; Ixodidae
Description: uncharacterized LOC119180638, transcript variant X2
Source: RNAcentral
GCCAUCUAGCUAGAAGCAAAAAUAGUCAAAACAAUGCAUACGUUUUUGGCAUUUCAGCCCCACUGCAGGAACUCUCUUGCUGUGGGUGCCUCCCCAAAGGAGUACUGGUACUGCCGCUAUUCCCAGGGGUGGUUCUGGUUGUGCCACGAUCCGAGAGAGCCUCAUUCCCCGAUUACUUUCGGUGUCAAUCAAAGAAGGUGGAUGCUGUGGUCAGCAUGGAGACACAACACCCUUGCAGAGCAUUGUGGGAAACAUGACCAUAAAACCGAUUUUGACGCUUGCCCCUGCACGACGCAAUGGAAAGGCAAAGCAGAUGUGAGAAGAUAAGAAGCACUGCCAUUACCACAAGCAAUAUGGUCACCCAAAAUAGAAGAGACUGAACGAGUCCUGAAGUGUGGUUAUAUGAAAAACUUACUGAAGCCAUUUCUGCUUCUAGUAUUCUUUCACCCAGCCACACAGAUCGUUAUCAAAAUAUUUACAUUUCUGUGCAUCGCAUGCCUCUAGGGAGAUAAGUUCACAAGGUCGUGGCAUCAUUUUUGCAGAACGUUUUUUUAUAUAUACGACUGAUGCUUAUUGGACUUAACAAACGUUUUACUUAAAGCUUUUCUUGCUGCCAUAGCACGCGCGUGCAUUCUACCCCCCUCGUAAGGAAUUCGCGAUCAUGCAGUAAGUGCCGUGAUCAUCUGUGCAAAACAUUUGUGUGCUGCGGUAAUAGCACUGUCGGCACUGAGCAGCCAGCUUCUAAUAAUCGGUGUCACAGGGCAUUACGAGUCGCUGUGCAUGCCCAAAUAUUUCCAUGCGCUUAAGUGCUCGACGCACAUUAUCGUCUUUAUUCUGAAUAUACAUUUCGUUUGUAUCUUCCUGUUCUUAAAUUAGAAUUUUGAACUUAUAAACCAUUGAAGCAGAGGGCUGGAAAUGCGUUAUUGCUGUUCUUGGGAGCACCAAAUCUACAGGAAGGGCUGUAGGAGUGAUUGUUCACACGCGCUCUGCUCUUCUCUCCUCUUUAGGCUCCUUCCCCCCCCAACCUUCUCAUAUACGGUAGCCAACCAAAUAUUUGUUCUCAUUGCCUUUCCUUACCCUCACGUCUCGAUGUAUUCUGAAAUGCAGCAUGGUAAUGCUAGUGUUAUAUUCGUAAAUAAAUAUUGCAUAAAGUUUCAUCGUUUUGUCUUGUGCAGAUUCUUGCUGGGUAUUGAUGUUUCAACACUGCCCAUCGACAUGGCUAAUCCAGGCGAAACAAUUCUCUCCUUUACUUGCUAUUGGUGCAGUGGACCUGCUGUUGAUUGCCAGUUGUACUUGCCUUCUCUUAAGAGUUUCUUCACGAAGUACAUUGACUUGUCAUCAGCAUCACUGCACAUCUCUCAGCUGCAGCAAAAAGCUGCCGCUGAUGGCAUCUAUGAAGACGAAAUACAGUAUGUAAUGUGCCAACUUGAGUUCACUACACUCUCCAUGAAACAACUCAAGACGGUGAGGGAUACUGUUAUUCAUCAGUGGUGCAAGCAGGGGCUAACAAAUCGUACAUUUUCAAACACACUCCAGUGGCUGGUUCCCGGUUCCUCCUGGAGCCUUUGUAAUGACUUCAUUCCGCAAGAAGACGUGUUGGUAAAAUCUAUUGCAUUUGGAUUGUACGUUGGCUUUUGUACUUUUGCUGAAGCGUAUAACAUCACCAAAAUUAUGGGGACUGCACACUUGAGGGUGAAUUGCUCAUUUCAGCACGACCAGAAACUUGUGCACAUCUAUUUAACGCUUCAGCACAAGUGUGGAAAGAUUCAAACGAUAUACAGGCUUCUCAUAAAGUAUGAUGACAUCUAUCGCGUGGUCGUCAGUGCAGCAAAAGACUCCACAGAAGUUUACCUCCAUGUUAAAACCUUUCCUCUGAUUCAUAGGCAAGUACAGCUUACCCUCGAAGAUGUCCAUCUCUCGCAGAGUGCUAUGCCGCACAAGAGCUGCGAUCGAAUGAGAUUCGAAAGGACAUUGAACAUUGGAUGCUCCUGCAUUACUUACUUGAAUAGCACCAUUCUUGCUGGCUAUUAUGUUGUGAAGCUGUGUGUGACUAGUGGCACCAAAGUUCGACGACUGGUAAGUCGUCUCGGUGACCGUUGUAGGAGAGAAGUAAAGGUCGUGUAUGCUCCUGUCAAAACUAUAAGUGUUAUGCAUUGCAUGGAAAGCGCAAAGCACGAGAUUAUGACUGCAAUUGCACCUCUGGUGCAGUUUCCGUGUCAGUACGCACUGAAUGUGCUCCUGCAAAGGAGCAACGAUGUCUUGGUUCAGAUGACAUUGCAGCGAGAUGACGACCGUAAAGCAUUUCUCACAUUCAUGCAAAAGUGUGCCAGGGCCAAUGAGAGUGCACUGGAACAGGCUUUGAUUGCUCUGUACCUCUCCAUCGAAAGCGGCUGCACCUUCACGCUCCAGACAGCACUUCCAGCUCUCUUCGUGAAGUUCCACGCAAGCUAUGUGCCGCUAGAAGUUCCCAACAACUGCUGUUGGGUGCGGCGUGCAAUCUCCACCCCGUCAAACUUCAUCCUCCUUCCUCCUGAAGUGCAUUGCCAGAACAGGGUGCUUCGUAGUUUCAACCCGGAGUACGCUCUUCGCGUGACGUUCCGGGAUGACAAUUACGAUUACCUCUCGCACACCCUCAUGUUCAGCCAAAAUGUGGAUGAAAUCCUUGAAGCGACUGUAGCAUCACUCCUUCGAGCAGGAGUCUCCAUUGCAGGUCGCCACUACGAGUACCUUGGAAGCUCCGCGAGCCAGCUUCGUGACCAUGGCGUAUGGCUGUACACAAAGGAUGGAAGCGGCAAGUCAGUUCAAGACAUCAGGGCUUGGAUAGGUGACGUGCACCAGAUUCCAAGCGUCGGCUACAAGAUGGCCCGCAUGGGCCAAUGCUUCUCGUCCACAGAAGAGACGGUGCGCGUCCCUCUAGACAGUGGGGCAAAGCAGGACUUACCGGAUAUUGUGGGUGGCAGGCAUCCACAAUCGGGCAACCCUUACAUUUUCUCGGAUGGCAUCGGCAUGAUCUCGAGGUCGCUUAUGAGAAAGGCAUGCAAACAGCUGGGCCUGCCAGAACUGCCAUCGGCCAUUCAGAUUCGCUAUGCUGGUUACAAAGGUGUGCUAUGCCUGAAUCCAAAAUUGCGUGGUGAUCAACUUCUGCUGCGCAAAAGCAUGAAGAAGUUUCACUGCUCGACAUCGGACAGCCUCGAAAUCGUGCAGGUGUCUGCACCACGUCCGGUGUACCUCAAUAGGCCCCUGAUCACCAUCUUGGAGCAGCUCGGAGUUCCGGGCCGCGUGUUCCUGCGAUUGCAACAGAACAUGGUGCUUCGUCUGUGCGAUGCCUUUGUCAGCGACGAUGAGGCCUUGCAGGUGCUUAGCGCACACGUUCGUACGGGCCAUCUGCCACUCGUCAAGUUUCGCAAGAAAGGCCUGGUUCUGACAAGGGAGCCCUUCAUUCGUUCACUGUUGCUGGCUGUUUACAAUAGCAUGAUAGCUAACCUUAAGAGCAAGAGCCACAUAGCAGUACCCGAGGACAGUGGACGCAACAUGCUAGGCGUACUGGAUGAAACGGGAACCCUAGAGUAUGGCCAGGUCUUUGUCCAGUUCACAAGUUUAAGGAGUGGUGACAAAACCUCAAGGCCUGCCACCAGAGUCAUCACAGGCACUGUGCUGGUGACAAAGUGCCCCUGCGUUCACCCUGGCGAUGUUCGUAAAUUCGAGGCCGUGGACGUGCCCGCAUUACACCACAUAAGGGACUGCAUCGUAUUCCCAGCCAAAGGACACCGACCACACCCCAAUGAAAUGGCGGGUUCUGACCUGGAUGGUGACGAGUAUGUGGUCAUAGCAGAAAAGGAUCUGCUCUUUUCAGGCGACAAUGCUGCUCCCAUGAUUUUCAGUGACCAUGCCUUUCAAAGCGGACACGCUGGAGGACUUGGAUGAAGAAAUGAUAUCAUUCACAUGUAACUACAUCAAGAAUGACAACAUUGGCCUCAUGUCGAACGCCCACCUUGCGUGGGCAGACCAGCUGCCGGACGGAAUAUUCUCACCACGGUGCCUGUCUCUGGCCAAGAAAAUUGCUACCAGCCUAGAUUUUGCCAAAACGGGCAUCCCAGCACGUAUGGAGAAGUCGGAGCGUGUGUACAGGUAUCCCGAAUUCAUGGAGAAGACGGGCAGCAAGGAUACUUACAGAUCAUCAAGGAUCCUCGGGCAGCUUUACAGACUCAAUCGGGGACUCGUCACCUCUGGCUUCUGUAGCUGCACCGAGCACAAAGCGCGUAACAGCAUGUUUGAGUACCCGGAUUGGCAGAAGUAUGAGCGCCCUGCCAGACUGGCGAAGGCACUUUACGAGGAGCUCAUGAAUCAAAUUCUUCACAGACACUGGCAUUGCCAGUGAAGCCUGAAGUUGUCACGGGACUACUGAGCAGUCUUUCUCCUUACCACAGGGGCAGGAACAACAAGUACAACGUCGAAGCUCACGUGCAGAAGCAGUUUCAGAUGCUGGUAGAGAAGAUGAGGCAACAGGUUCUUCCGCGAUGUUGAGUCCCUCUUCCCAGAUGGCAAUUUCUCCGGGACAGAGGCCAAAGUGGCUCUGCUACAGAUGGCUUCCGCGUGGUACAUGGUAACCGUGAACGCAGACGACGCAGCGGAAGUCAACUGCCAAGGUUUUCCCUGGUGCAUGUCGGACGUGUUGCUGAUGCUUGUAAAGAACAGGCAUGCGAAGUGCUCCGAAGUCCAGGGAUAUCAGAUGGCUAGAGCGCUGUUGCGUCGAAUCAAUGACAUGAUUACAAGGUCCAUGCCCGGUGCAUGUCCAGUCACCGUUGCGCUCGACGUGGUGCUCAGAUGGGCUGCUAAAGAGGACCUCAUGAAAACAUCGGGGUCAAAUGGGCGCGGAAUCUGUCGCACAUGCCUGUCUACACUGUUCGAAAACUUCGCUAGUUCCUGCAAGACGGCACCACUACUGUCAGCUGAGGGCUGGCACAGGGAUCUGGAAAGGCAUGCACGUCUGUUUGGUUGGCCACCCAGAACUGCUGCUGCCUAUGUGUUGGCAUUCCUGAGAUACCUUGUGAAUGCGCCAGAACUCGGCUCACUUUGCCAAAACUGUUGGCAUGUAUAUGCGCAAGCACACUUGGUCUCAGUGGCUGCGUUGCGGCGCUAUAGCCAGCUGUUGGUGUGUGGGUCUCCGUGUCACCUCAAUCUCACACUGAGCCACGACUGUCACAAAUCUGUUGACGUUCUGGAGGAGCAUGGGCCCAUCAGGGUGCUGGUGCAGAGCGCCGCCUUUCUGCGCCUGCUGAAGGUGGGCAGCGGCGCGGCGCGCUUGCAGGAGACGCUCCGCCGCUUGUCCGGCGCGCAGGCGGUGCGCAUCCGCUGCAACUCGAGCACGUCGGGCGGCCGCCAGUACGCGUUCGUCUCCGCCAGGGGCCGCCACUGGCAGCUGUGGUUCCUCGAGGAGCUCCUGCUCCAGCCCUGGUUCGAAGACGCCGUCGUCAGCGGAGAGCUCGGGCGGCAGCAGCGCUGAGACCAAUCGCAUUUCGUAGAGGCGUCCUACCACGCGGAAGCCCGGUUAACCACAUCUUGGUUGUCAUCGAGGUCGCCAUCUUGGAGUUCCAGUUACGUUCGGAA